GGGAGGACCCGGCCCGCGCCCCCGCCCCCCGGUGCCCGCCCCCCGCCCCCGUCAUGUGGAGCGGACGUCACAAGCCUGCACUGUAACCCAAGAAGUGAAAGAGACGGGGACCCACGGCCCAACUUCGCACCGUAACAAAGGCGGGGGUGCCUGCUGCUGCCAGCCAUGCUUUCCAGGUAGGACAUGCACGGCCUCGGGGCAGGUGCACCUCUGCAGCCCGGAAGCAGGAGGCUCACCUGAAAAUGGAGAGAUAAGACGCCCUCCAGCAGGCCCGAGUGAUCCAGAGCCCUCGUCGCCGAGAUGGACCGCACCCGGGAGGCCGAGAUGGAGCUGAGAAGGGGCCCCAGCCCCACCAGGGCCAGCAGGAGCCCCGAGGCGGACGGGGACAGGGCCCUGAGUCACAGCUGCUGCAUCUGUGGCAAGAGCUUUCCCUUCCAGAGCUCCCUGUCCCAGCACAUGCGCAAGCACACGGGGGAGAAGCCCUACAAGUGCCCGUACUGCGACCACCGGGCUUCCCAGAAGGGCAACCUGAAGAUCCACAUCCGCAGCCACCGCACAGGAACCUUGAUCCAGGGCCACGAGCCCGAGGCUGGCGAGACGCGCGUGUCCGAGGGCCUGGACGGCUGCGCCAGUCCCACGAAGAGCACCUCGGCCUGCAACAGGAUCCUGAAUGGCGCCACCCAGGUGGACAACGGCAAGAUCCUGCUGAGGAGCAGCAAGAAGGAGACGGAGGGGACGGCGUGCGCCACCGAGGAGGGCAGGGCGGCGGCUUCGGUGACCGGGCAGUGCUCCUUCUGCAAGAGCAAGUUCGAGCGCAAGAAGGACCUGGAGCAGCACGUGCACCAGGCGCACAAGCCCUUCAAAUGCCGGCUGUGCAGCUAUGUGACCCUGCGGGAGGAAUCCCUGCUGAGCCACAUUGAGAAGGACCACAUCACAGCGCAGGGGCCGCGCGGUGAGGCUGAGGUGGAGAACUGCAAGCCCGAGCUGCCCCCGGGUGAGUUCCCCUGCGAGGUGUGCGGCCAGGCCUUCAGCCAGACCUGGUUCCUGAAGGCGCACAUGAAGAAGCACAGGGGCUCCUUCGACCACGGCUGCCACAUCUGCGGCCGGCGGUUCAAGGAGCCUUGGUUCCUGAAGAACCACAUGAAGGCGCAUGGCCCGAAGGCGGGGAGCAAGAACAAGCCGCGGAGCGAGCUGGACCCCGUCGCCACCAUCAACGAUGUGGUGCAGGAGGAGGUGAUCGUGGCCGGCCUGUCCCUCUACGAAGUCUGCACCAAGUGCGGGAACCUGUUUACAAACCUGGACAGCUUGAACGCGCACAACGCCAUCCACCGACGGGUGGAGGCCGGCCGGCCGCGCGCCCCGGCCUCGGAGGGCGCCCCCGACUCCCAGCAGCUCUUCCUUCAGUGCCUGAACCUGCGCCCGGCGACCGGCGCGCCCGCCCGCGGGCAGGCCGGGCGGCGCGUGGCCGAGCUGGACCCGGUCAACAGCUACCAGGCCUGGCAGCUGGCCACCAGAGGCAAGGUGGCCGAGCCGGCCGAGUACCUCAAGUACGCGGCGUGGGACGAAGCGCUGGCAGGGGACGUGGCCUUCGACAAGGAGCGGCGUGAGUUCAUCCUGGUGAGCCAGGAGAAACGCAAGCGUGAGCCUGAGCCCGGCGCGCCGGGACCCCCGCGCAAGAGGGCGGGAGCGCCCGGGGACCCUGCGCCUGGGCCCCUGGACCCCCGGCCGGCCGCGCGUGCCAGCCGCCGAGCAGCUGCCCCUGCCGGCCACAGCAAGUCGUCCGAGUGUUUCGAGUGCGGCAAGAUCUUCCGCACCUACCACCAGAUGGUGCUGCACUCGCGCGUGCACCGGCGCGCGCGCCGCCACCGCGAAGGCCCUGGGGAGCGCGUGCCCCGCGCCCGCUGCGGUUCUCUCAGCGAGGGCGACUCGGCCUCACAGCCCAGCAGCCCUGGCUCAGCCUGCGCCGCUGUCGACUCCCCGGGCUCCGGCCUGGCGGAUGAGGCCGCCGAUGAAAGCGGAGAGGAGGGCACAGCCCACUCUGCACCAGGGGCAAAGCCACACCGCUGCUGCUUUUCUGAAGAAGUAGCACCGACCAGGCUCUCCAAUGGAGACCAAAGUCACACACUUGGAAAUCACCCAUCUGGAAGAGACUCCGGGGAGCCCAGCAUGGGGAUCACUGCUUCCACAUCCGUACUUGAAAAUGGUAGCAGAGAGACUUCCAAGAGACCAGAGCAGCCUAGGUUUUCCAUGGACUUAAAGAUGCCAGCAUUUCACCCCAAGCAAGAGGUCCCGGGCUCCAGGGACUCUGCAGACCUCCCUUCGAAGCCUGAUCAGACUUUUCUGGAACGGGCAGAUCUGCAGCUCUUGUCAGAAAGCCAGGCCACCUACCCGAAGGAGAAGCUGUCCGAUUUGCACAACAAGGAACAUUCCGGGGGAGGGAAAAGGGUGCUGGCCCCAGACCUGAUCCCACUGGACCUGAGUGAGAGGUCGACGCGGGCUGACCCCAGCCAUAAGGAGCUGGCCUCCUCGCUGCAAGCGGCCUUGGCCGUCCACCCGUGUCCUUACUGCAGCCAUAAGACCUACUAUCCCGAGGUCCUCUGGAUGCACAAGCGCCUCUGGCACAGGGUCAGCUGCAGCUCCAUGGCGCCCCAGUGGAUCCAGCCCAACGGCUACAAGAGCAUCAGAAACAACUUGGUUUUCCUCGCCCGGAGUGGACGCACGGGGCCCCCGCCCGCCCUCGGCGGCAAGGAGUGUCAGCCCCUGCCCAUCUCUCGGUUCACUCGCACUCAGGUGCCAGGUGGGGCGCCGGGGACCAAAGGCAGCCCCUCACCCCUGGGCAUGACCGUGAAAGCUGCCAGCUUGCCCAGGAACAAGGACAGCCAUCCCGGGGGACCCUGUGGACUCUGGGCAGCUGCCCCCGAUGGGCCUCGGCCGACCAAGCCCAGCCUGGGACCUGAGCAGCAUGGGGCUCCGGCCCAGCUGCCCCCGGCCAAGCUCAAGCAGGAGGCCGGCUCCAAGCCUGGGCCCGUGGCAGGUGGGGGCAGCUUCAGCAGAAGUGCCACCCCCACACCCGUCAUCGCCCGGGCCAGCUCCCAGCCCCCGGCCAACAGCAGGCUGGGAGACAAGUACGCACACCCCCCGGUGGCAUCUGGCAUCGUCCCCCCAAGUAAGCACAGCACCCCGGACCCCCUGAAAGCCAAAUUCAGCCCUCAGCCUCAGGGUCAGCCACAAGUGAAAGGUGACGGGGGCCUCCCUCUACCUCCCCGAGAACCCCCCUCCAAGGCUGGCAACGGUGUGGGCUCCAGGGGCCACCUGGCAUCGCAGGCCUCACCGGUGCUGCCCACCAUCAAGCAGGAGCCCGUGGCUGACAGCCCUGAGAAACGCCUGGACAUCCUCAAUAUCUUUAAGACAUACAUUCCAAAGGACUUUGCUUCUCUCUACCAGAGCUGGGGGGCCAGUGGCCCUGCACUCGAGCACAGAGGGACGCUCCGGACGCAGGCCCACCAGGGAGACUUCGUCUGCGUGGAGUGUGGGAAGUGCUUUCAUCAGCCCAGCCACCUCAGGGCCCACAUGAGGGCUCACACAGUGCUGUUUGAGUCUAAUGGCCUCCGAGGUGCUGACAUCCACGGCGCAUCUGCUGACGUCCCCAAACAAGGGAGAGACCAUCCUAACGCAGAUACUGUCCAGACAGUGCCUCUCAGAAAGGGAACCUAGAGACACGCUUCCAACAACCGGUGCCCGGUGACGGCCCCCCCACCGUGGGUGUCCCCACAGUCUCCCUGCCGUGACCCUGCCCGCCCCGCGGAAGAACUCCUGGCGGACACCCUGAAUCCUAGAGCCUCGGGGCGAGGGCAGAAGCUGAAGAGAGAGCCUCUCCUUGUCAUGCGUUUAAAAAUCAAGCAGAUGCUCUGCUCGAAUUACAUGCAGGUCCUCCUCGUGCGCACGUGUGCUCACCCAGCACAGUCCGUAUUUUCCUACAGUCAGCGGUCGUGUCGGCAGGCGCAGGAGGAGCUCACGCAUCUGUCUUGUUCAAGACGAGUUUGAGACACUGGAAGAAAGAUCCUCGUGUGCGUGGGACACAACGAAGCUGCCAGGCACUGUCACAGAAGCUGCAAUGCUCAGAGGACUUGGGGGGACGUCAGAGCAAAGGGGGGCGAGGUUUGCAGCAUGAGUGUGACGGCCCCUCCUUGUCUCAGUGGGUAUUUAAAUAGUGAAUAAGAGAGGGAGGAUGGGUGUGCGGGUGGUGUGGAAACAGGCUCCAUGGAGGCGGGCGGUGACUGGACCCUCCCUGGCAGGGGGGCCCAUGUGCUGAGCCCCGCUCCGUUGUGCUCAGUGAACCCGGCAGAGGUCACACGUCCACAGCAAGGCUUGUGUCCUGCUUCGGAAAAGAGAGCUAGUUGAACACUAAGAAAAGCAGGCUUCUUUGUUUAUUCUCAGGACCUUUUGGUAACAGGGCUGCACUCUGCAAACUGCUCACCACGGAAGACUGCCCGUCUUAACAAAUUAUCUAGCCACUGAACCCCUGAUUGGGACCCUUGUAGUCACAGCAGGAGAAUCCCUGAGCAGAUUGGGGGCUCAGGUCACCAGGGUCUGAGUGCUCUGGGAUUCCUCGUGCUCCCCUUCCCUGCCUCCCUGUCCAUCCGUCCCAGCAAGUAGGUGUCUUUUCUUCUUGGGCCUGGGGGCCUCCGCUGGACGAGUCCCCUCGUUCCCAGGGUGUGGAGGCCCCCAGGCCUGUGGUUGGGGCGGCUUGAUAUACCUCUUCCUCAGAUGCAAGUUUUAGUGGUGGGGUUAAGGCCCGUCACAAGGGACCUUAAACCUUGCAGUGUACGCAAAGUUGUAUUCCACAGAUAUAAAUAUUUUCUUUUCCUUUUACCGUGACACUAUGUGUGAUGGUAAUAUUUCUGAAAGUUUCAGAUUUUUGCACAUAAUGAUUUUAUGCAUUAUCAAAAGUUACUGCUGCCUUGAAUGAAAAUGUUCUGUGAAAUUUUUUGCAAAAGCUUUACUAGGUUUUUUUUUAAUUGUGACAUUUUGUAAAGGCAGGAAAUGGAUUAAAAUAAGCAUGCUAAAUAUAUUUUUCAAAAAAGCAAUAAUUUUACAUGUAUAGAAAUUAUCCUAACCUUUAAUACUGGUGAGAGCGACAGUUUACUUAAUACAGUAAUGGAUUAGUGCAGUUUUUGUAGAAAAUGGGCUUCUGAUACAAAGACUUGUUUAAACACACACACACACACACACACACACACACACACACCCACCCCUGAAGUGUGGUUUUCCUGUUCUAAUGAUUUGUUGAGUUUUAUUAUUAUUAUUAUUAUUGUUGUUGUUGUUGUUGUUCUUAGUUACUGUUUGGUUUCUGGAUUCUACUUGUUACUGAAUUUAAAUUACUUGACGGUUCAGGUUACCUUGCAACAUUUGCAAACAAUGCAAUGUAACUGGCUAGCUUCUAUAUAUAUAUAUUAUAUACAUGUAUACACACACACAUGUAGACACAGAGAUAUGUGCGUGUGUGUGUAUAUAUAUAAUUUUUUUACUUAUUUUUUCCUGCUUCUCUUUUGCUGGAUAUGUUCCAGAACGAUCUGUCCUGUUGGUGUGUUCCGAGGGUCUGUGCAGAUGCUCCUCAGCCACUGUCCUUGACUGUUCUGUAAAGUUACUUUGAGCAAAGUUGCAGACACAUUCCCCUGCUCACCUUCAAAAUCAAAAUGCCACUCUGUUGACUUCCGUUUGAUCCUGUCUCUGGCCUCCCCACGGUGGUCAUUUCUGCAUUUUCUUGGCUGAAAGUGAAGGGUGACAGUUCAGGAGCGCACAGGGGCUAGAGCUGCGGGCUGUCUGUUUCUCUGCAUUUUAGUUAUUAAAAGGAACUCUGGACCCAAAGUGACACAGAUGAGUCAUGUACCUUCUUGCUGUUUCAGAAGCAGCCUGUGGAGUCACAGUGUCACCCCGGGGGCUCCUUUGCAGGGGCCUGGGGGAGAGAGGGGGCACAUCCCCAGGGAAAACCGUGUGCUGCCAGGAGCACAGAUGGAAGGUUUUCACUUAAUUCAGCAGGCAGGGAAGGGACCCCAGAGAAUGCCACCCUCUGAGAGAAGCCCUUUGCGGGAGACUGUGGCCCCUCCCUCUUUCACUGCCCAUCAGUAUUUUAUUGGUUUGUUAAUGCAUUUAUGUCAGUUCAACCAUAGUAUUUAAUAUGAUUUGUGUUUUCUUAUUUAUUUAGCUGAUAUGUCUUGAUUCGCUUUUUUUUCGAAUGAUAAUUUCCGCAUGGUCUCUCCUGUAAGUCACCUUCUGACUGUUACAGACUUUCUACCUCUACCAAUCUGCUGUUUCCUUGUUUCUUAACAGGAUUUCACAGUGUUGGCGUCCAGUGUAACUUAGACAAUAAAGGGUUUGGUUGUCUACA
Molecule: long non-coding RNA, 6388 nt
Filed under: Sus scrofa (pig)
Lineage: Eukaryota; Metazoa; Chordata; Mammalia; Artiodactyla; Suidae
Description: lncRNA (ENSSSCG00025026734.1)
Source: RNAcentral